Molecule: ribosomal RNA, 301 nt
Filed under: uncultured bacterium
Lineage: Bacteria
Description: partial 16S ribosomal RNA
Rfam family: Bacterial small subunit ribosomal RNA
Source: RNAcentral
CAGCAGCCGCGGGAAUACGUAGGGUGCAAGCGUUAAUCGGAAUUACUGGGCGUAAAGCGUGCGCAGGCGGUUUUGUAAGUCUGUCGUGAAAUCCCCGGGCUCAACCUGGGAAUGGCGAUGGAGACUGCAAGGCUAGAAUCUGGCAGAGGGGGGUAGAAUUCCACGUGUAGCAGUGAAAUGCGUAGAUAUGUGGAGGAACACCGAUGGCGAAGGCAGCCCCCUGGGCUAAGAUUGACGCUCAUGCACGAAAGCGGGGGGAGCAAACAGGAUUAGAUACCCCCGUAGUCCCUGUCUCUUAUAC